Panthera uncia (snow leopard) is the source of this 1893-nucleotide long non-coding RNA. RefSeq lists it as uncharacterized. The record is from RefSeq and is a predicted model, not a curated record. The transcript is spliced from 3 exons. NCBI's taxonomy places the organism in Eukaryota, Metazoa, Chordata, Mammalia, Carnivora, Felidae.
AGUUCAUAUAAAGUAAAGACCUGGGCUGAGAAUAGAAAGUGAGUAAGGAUGCAGGUGUGUAUAUGCCUUUCAAAUACUUGGUUGGAAACAGAAGACUGUUCCUGUCUUGCUCAUAUGGCCGGUUGUGAGUGAAUCAACCCCAGAAUCUCACCCUCAGAUGUACUUUCGGGGACCACUUCUGUCACCACUUCUCUGAGGUGAGAAGAGAAGCACCUCAAGAAAGCAGAGCUUAAGAAAGAUUUGUGUGCAGUGACUUAUUAAGAGAGUACUCUUCAAAAGAAAGGAAAGCAGGAAAGGGCAGAGGAAGAAGAUAGGCAAAGAUGUGAUCUCAAAAGAAGUCUAGCCUUAGCUUGAUCCCAUAGGGAGAUCUGGGAUGUGAAUGGUACCACAGAAUUAUUCCUUUUAUGGGACAGUCCCUCUGCAAGACCAAAAUGGAAUGGCUUGGCUUUUGUAACCUUGUAUUUGUUACUUAACUGUGUGGGCCUCCCAAGUUGGUUGAUUCUUAUAACCCAGAUAUUACUGGGCAAAGAGACUCACUGACAGGAGUUCCAAUUUUAAUUAGGUUCCUAGUGUUCCAUUGUAGGAUUGCACUUGUAUUGGUUUCCAAUUUUUUUCUAUGGUAAACCAAAUGUUUACAAUAUAAAUCAUUCUUUAAAUAAUGGAGCACAUGUAAUUUUUUUUAAAGCAAUAACAGUUGGCAAAUAUGAAAAAACCCUAGAUCAUCAGCUUUUUACUGUGUAAUGCCUCUACAGUUAAGGAUAAUUGAGUUAAACUUUGGUUUAAAAGAAAGAAGUCUGUUGAAGUUGUGUGGAUCUAGAGAUGAGAAAUAGAUAUUAAGAUGGAAUCAAAUAUGUAAGGAAAAUCUUGAUAACUAAAAAAGUAGAAGUUUAAAUUUGUUAGAGAAUAAAUAUAGUUCUUAUGUUUAGGUAGCCACAUGAAUUUUCUAAUCCCUUAAUUAAUAUAUUGAAAUGUAAGGCUUGGCUAAAAAGUAGGUUGAGGGAUCCUCUUAUUGGUUCAAGUAUGUGAAAUCAGACCUAUAUGCCACAAUUAGGCCAUAAUAAGUAAUAUAAGAAUGUGUAUAUACUCAUAAAUGAAAAAGAGGCAGCACAAAAGAAAAAAAAUACUCUCCAAAAAUAAUUAAGUUAAGGGAGAUGGUUUAUAAAAAGAAGAAAAGAAAGUUGUAUGUAAAGCUAACACUAUGGAAAAUUGAAAUAAAAAUUGUAUGCUUUCUUCCAAGAUUAUUGAGGACGUAUCAUAAGGUAUCUCUGUGGAAAAGUGAAAUACUUAGAAAAAAGUAUUUUGAAAAACAAUACCUCUUACCUAUAUGGAUGUAUAUAUGAUUAUAUAAACAGAAAAGAUCAUCUCUUUCCAUAAAAUUCAUAGAAGCUCUUAUCCCUAAGGGAGAGAAAAAAAAAGCUGUAUUUAAGGAGCUAUUAACGUUACUGGUAGUGACUUUUUUUAAAUCUGGGUAGAGGGUUGUGUAUGUUAUUUCUAAUAUUAUGUUUUCAGAACACACCUUUAGAAGUCUAAUGUGUUUCCACAUAAAGAUAUAAUUAAAAAAUAGGUUUCAAUACAACAAAAUAAUUUUAAAUAACCAAUAAAUUAAAAAGAAAUCAUAGUUAUAAAUGUAAAGGAGGAACAAAAUAGUGUUGCCCAGCUUAUCUGAACCAUGAACUGGUUCAGCUUACCAAUUCCAAAAUAUUUAAAAUAGAAGCAUUCUAAGUUAAUUUAUAAUUUAAUAUAACAGGCUAUUGUCUGGUAAAUCAGCAUCUAAAAUUUAAACUCAUUGCACAACAGAAUUUGGAAUAAGAAAUAUUUGAUAAUUUUAUGUUACGGACAUGAGAACAUCAUACUGAGGCUUCCAUGAUGUUCGACCACAUUUAGGAAAUGUAG